GACGAACGAUGGCGGCGUGCCUAAUACAUGCAAGUCGAACGAACAGAUGCGGAGCUUGCUGCUCUGACGUUAGCGGCGGGCGGGUGAGUCACACGUGUAUCACCUACCUAUCAUACUGGGAUCACUUCGGGACACCGGCGCUAAUCCCGUAUGAUCUCUUGAACCGCAUGGUUCAAUAGUGAAAGUCGGCUUUGCUGUCACUUAUCGCUGGAUCUGCGCCGCAUUAGCUAGUUGGUAAGGUAACGGCUUACCAAGGCGACGAUGCGUAGCCGACCUGAGAGGGUGAUAGGCCGCCCUGGAACUGAGACGCGGUCCAGACUCCUGCGGGAGGCAGCAGUAGGGAACCGGCCGCAAAGGGCGAAAGCCUGACGGAGCAACGCCGAGUGAGUGAUGAAGGUCUUCGGAUCGUAAAGCUCUCUUAUUAGGGAAGAACAAAUGUGUAAGGAACUAUGCACGUAUUGACGGUACCUAAUCAGAAAGCCACGGCUAACUACGUG
Molecule: ribosomal RNA, 497 nt
Filed under: uncultured bacterium
Lineage: Bacteria
Description: partial 16S ribosomal RNA
Rfam family: Bacterial small subunit ribosomal RNA
Source: RNAcentral